GAUGAACGCUGGCGGCGUGCCUAAUACAUGCAAGUCGAGCGAACAGACGAGGCGCUUGCUCCUCUGACGUUAGCGGCGGACGGGUGAGUAACACGUGGAUAACCUACCUAUAAGACUGGGAUAACUUCGGGAAACCGGAGCUAAUACCGGAUAAUAUAUUGAACCGCAUGGUUCAAUAGUGAAAGACGGUUUUGCUGUCACUUAUAGAUGGAUCCGCGCCGCAUUAGCUAGUUGGUAAGGUAACGGCUUACCAAGGCAACGAUGCGUAGCCGACCUGAGAGGGUGAUCGGCCACACUGGAACUGAGACACGGUCCAGACUCCUACGGGAGGCAGCAGUAGGGAAUCUUCCGCGAUGGGCGAAAGCUUGACGGAGCAACGCCGCGUGAGUGAUGAAGGUCUUCGGAUCGUAAAACUCUGUUAUUAGGGAAGAACAAAUGUGUAAGUAACUAUGCACGUCUUGACGGUACCUAAUCAGAAAGCCACGGCUAACUACGUG
This 497-nucleotide ribosomal RNA is filed under the name uncultured bacterium. RNAcentral's name for it is "partial 16S ribosomal RNA". It matches the Rfam family "Bacterial small subunit ribosomal RNA", at positions 28 to 507 of the family's 1533-position model. The record is from RNAcentral.